This 496-nucleotide ribosomal RNA is filed under the name uncultured bacterium. Its description in RNAcentral is "partial 16S ribosomal RNA". It matches the Rfam family "Bacterial small subunit ribosomal RNA", at positions 29 to 507 of the family's 1533-position model. The record is from RNAcentral.
AUGAACGCUGGCGGCGUGCCUAAUACAUGCAAGUCGAGCGAACAGACGAGGAGCUUGCUCCUCUGACGUUAGCGGCGGACGGGUGAGUAACACGUGGAUAACCUACCUAUAAGACUGGGAUAACUUCGGGAAACCGGAGCUAAUACCGGAUAAUAUAUUGAACCGCAUGGUUCAAUAGUGAAAGACGGUUUUGCUGUCACUUAUAGAUGGAUCCGCGCCGCAUUAGCUAGUUGGUAAGGUAACGGCUUACCAAGGCAACGAUGCGUAGCCGACCUGAGAGGGUGAUCGGCCACACUGGAACUGAGACACGGUCCAGACUCCUACGGGAGGCAGCAGUAGGGAAUCUUCCGCAAUGGGCGAAAGCCUGACGGAGCAACGCCGCGUGAGUGAUGAAGGUCUUCGGAUCGUAAAACUCUGUUAGUAGGGAAGAACAAAUGUGUAAGUAACUAUGCACGUCUUGACGGUACCUAAUCAGAAAGCCACGGCUAACUACGUG